This 1346-nucleotide ribosomal RNA is filed under the name uncultured bacterium. Its description in RNAcentral is "partial 16S ribosomal RNA". It matches the Rfam family "Bacterial small subunit ribosomal RNA", at positions 28 to 1381 of the family's 1533-position model. The record is from RNAcentral.
GACGAACGCUGGCGGCGUGCUUAACACAUGCAAGUCGAACGGAAAGGCCCUGCUUUUGUGGGGUGCUCGAGUGGCGAACGGGUGAGUAACACGUGAGUAACCUGCCCUUGACUUUGGGAUAACUUCAGGAAACUGGGGCUAAUACCGGAUAGGAGCUCCUGCUGCAUGGUGGGGGUUGGAAAGUUUCGGCGGUUGGGGAUGGACUCGCGGCUUAUCAGCUUGUUGGUGGGGUAGUGGCUUACCAAGGCUUUGACGGGUAGCCGGCCUGAGAGGGUGACCGGCCACAUUGGGACUGAGAUACGGCCCAGACUCCUACGGGAGGCAGCAGUGGGGAAUAUUGCACAAUGGGCGGAAGCCUGAUGCAGCAACGCCGCGUGCGGGAUGACGGCCUUCGGGUUGUAAACCGCUUUCGCCUGUGACGAAGCGUGAGUGACGGUAAUGGGUAAAGAAGCACCGGCUAACUACGUGCCAGCAGCCGCGGUGAUACGUAGGGUGCGAGCGUUGUCCGGAUUUAUUGGGCGUAAAGGGCUCGUAGGUGGUUGAUCGCGUCGGAAGUGUAAUCUUGGGGCUUAACCCUGAGCGUGCUUUCGAUACGGGUUGACUUGAGGAAGGUAGGGGAGAAUGGAAUUCCUGGUGGAGCGGUGGAAUGCGCAGAUAUCAGGAGGAACACCAGUGGCGAAGGCGGUUCUCUGGGCCUUUCCUGACGCUGAGGAGCGAAAGCGUGGGGAGCGAACAGGCUUAGAUACCCUGGUAGUCCACGCUGUAAACGGUGGGUACUAGGUGUGGGGUCCAUUCCACGGGUUCCGUGCCGUAGCUAACGCUUUGAGUACCCCGCCUGGGGAGUACGGCCGCAAGGCUAAAACUCAAAGGAAUUGACGGGGCCCCGCACAAGCGGCGGAGCAUGCGGAUUAAUUCGAUGCAACGCGUAGAACCUUACCUGGGUUUGACAUGGGUCGGGAGUGCUCAGAGAUGGGUGUGCCUCUUUUGGGGUCGGUUCACAGGUGGUGCAUGGCUGUCGUCAGCUCGUGUCGUGAGAUGUUGGGUUAAGUCCCGCAACGAGCGCAACCCUUGUUCACUGUUGCCAGCACGUUAUGGUGGGGACUCAGUGGAGACCGCCGGGGUCAACUCGGAGGAAGGUGGGGAUGACGUCAAGUCAUCAUGCCCCUUAUGUCCAGGGCUUCACGCAUGCUACAAUGGCUGGUACAGAGAGUGGCGAGCCUGUGAGGGUGAGCGAAUCUCGGAAAGCCGGUCUCAGUUCGGAUUGGGGUCUGCAACUCGACCUCAUGAAGUCGGAGUCGCUAGUAAUCGCAGAUCAGCAACGCUGCGGUGAAUACGUUCCCGGGGCU